AAUCUCUGGCCAUGCUCUUUUUACCGCAGCUGGUGCUCACAAGGAAUAAAUUGUUUUUAUUCCAGCAGUGUGUGUUUUGAGAAAGGUGAUGCUAUCAGUAUGAUAAAAAUUACUGGAUACAACUUGUCUAGAGCUGCUGCAGUUUUCUGACUCAGCUUUGGAGGAGAAAUAAACUCCAAAAAAAGAGAAUCCUCUCAAAAUAACCUCCCCAUUUCCCCUUCUGCCCACUACAAAAAUUCUAUGACCGAUACAGCGAGAAAAAUCCUUGUAAGACAGUGGCAAUUGGCAAUUAUACCAGCUGUCAAAAGCUCCCUUCAGACAUAGCACUAAGCCAUGGCCUAGUAUUUUGAGAACAAGCCUAGCUUCCACAUACAUGUACAUGCAUCCUGUCCCUUCUCCAGGGUGACUGUGAGGAGUUCAGAAGCUUAGUGUGUUGUGCAUAUCAUAAACCGUGGUUAAGUGUGGCUAAUGAAAACAAGCCAGUUUAUAAACUAUGGUUUGAAGUUGGCUGGUUUUCACUAACUAUAGUAGUUUCUCUGGUUUCAGACAACAUGGCAAGUUCCAGUUUUUGUUUUGUUUUGUUGUUUUUAAUGGAAGUGUGCCAGCUUAUGAGGGGGACAUGAGCCAGGGGCAGUGGGUAGCCUAGUUCACAUAACAUUGCACAUAAUGGUUUAACGUUCUAUCUGGACCAACCCACAGAGUAGCUUUGUAAGUUGUAGGAUGUUUCCAUUAUGACAAAGAUAAUGCCAUACAAAUGAAUUAAGGGAGGGAACAUGGAAAAUUGAAAAGAGGAAAAACAAACCAAUGCAGCUUUCUUGUACCAAGGCUAGUCCAUCAUUUGCACCAAAUGUGUCACUCGUUAUUUGUAUUGUAUCCUCUUUAUUAGCCUCUCCAUUAAAUGGAUAAUGAAAAUCA
Podarcis raffonei (Aeolian wall lizard) is the source of this 915-nucleotide long non-coding RNA. RefSeq lists it as uncharacterized. The record is from RefSeq and is a predicted model, not a curated record. NCBI's taxonomy places the organism in Eukaryota, Metazoa, Chordata, Lepidosauria, Squamata, Lacertidae. The transcript is spliced from 2 exons.